Mytilus californianus (California mussel) is the source of this 656-nucleotide long non-coding RNA. RefSeq lists it as uncharacterized. NCBI's taxonomy places the organism in Eukaryota, Metazoa, Mollusca, Bivalvia, Mytilida, Mytilidae. The transcript has 3 exons. The record is from RefSeq and is a predicted model, not a curated record.
CAGAUGACACCUGCCAGCUAGACAUGUACACCUUACAGUCCUUCCAUACACCAAAUAUAGUAGACCUAUUGCAUACAGUAUAAGAAAAACAGACCAAAACACAAAAACUUAACUAUAACCACUGAACCAUGAAAAUGAGGUCAAGGUCAGAUGACACCUGCCAGCUAGACAUGUACACCUUACAGUCCUUCCAUACACCAAAUAUAGUAGACCUAUUGCAUACAGUAUAAGAAAAACAGACCAAAACACAAAAACUUAACUAUAACCACUGAACCAUGAAAAUGAGGUCAAGGUCAGAUGACACCUGCCAGUUGGACAUGUACACCUUACAGUCCUUCCAUACACCGAAUAUACUAGACCUAUUGCUUAUAGUAUCUGAGAUAUGGAAUUGACAACCAAAACUUAACCUUGUUCACUGAUCCAUGAAAUGAGGUUGAGGUCAAGUGAAAACUGUCUGACGGGCAUGAGGACCUUGCAAGGUAUGCACAUACCAAAUAUAGUUAUCCUAUUACUCAUAAUAAGAGAGAUAUUAACAUUACAAAAAAUAUUAACUUUUUUUUCAAGUAGUCACUGAACCAUGAAAAUGAGGUCAAGGACAAUGGACAUGUGAAAGACAGAAACUUCGUAACAUGAACAUCUAUAUACAAAGUAUGAAG